Anguilla rostrata (American eel) is the source of this 473-nucleotide long non-coding RNA. RefSeq lists it as uncharacterized. Lineage: Eukaryota; Metazoa; Chordata; Actinopteri; Anguilliformes; Anguillidae. The record is from RefSeq and is a predicted model, not a curated record. The transcript has 3 exons.
UAUUCUACGCCAAUCAUAUCAUAGACAGUGGGGGCUUCACCCAAUCAACGCUCAGGUGGAUUUUCAAAUGUCGGAAGAGUAGAUUGAUGGACCAUUCAUUCAAAACAAGAGUGCUCAUUUGAUAUUCACUGAAAAUACACGUAACUUAGCUAAACUUACAACCCAUAUAUUUUAACGAAAACUACAACUUUCAGCUGCUAAGUAAAAUUGGACGCUGGUAUUAAAUCAAGUUUUAUUUGCACACUACAAUGGGAAAAGGUAAAAAGAAAGUCUCGACCGGCGCAGAAGUUAAACCCGAAGACGCCCCCGACAUCAAAGGGAAACACACAAAAGAAAAUCAUCCGAAAAUGAACGGGGAGAGUCUGUGCUGCGGGCUGCUCUAGAGUUCAAAGGUCACUGAACGAUGCGGUCUGUUGCAGGAGAGUCUGCUACAGGCUGCUCUAGAGUUCAAAGGUCACUGAACGAUGCGGUCU